GCGCCGGUAGAAUAUUUUUUUAGUUCAUAGCCUUUAUUUGGCUGGGGAGGCAUAGGGCUUUGGUGUA
Molecule: transfer RNA, 67 nt
Filed under: Anadara sp. SS-2018
Lineage: Eukaryota; Metazoa; Mollusca; Bivalvia; Arcoida; Arcidae
Also listed under: 1 other name
Description: tRNA-Ile
Source: RNAcentral